RNAcentral lists this long non-coding RNA (7971 nucleotides) under Lactuca sativa (garden lettuce). RNAcentral describes it as "long non-coding RNA (LSAT_LNC001685)". The record is from RNAcentral. Lineage: Eukaryota; Viridiplantae; Streptophyta; Magnoliopsida; Asterales; Asteraceae.
UUGCCGCGACAUUGGGCCGAAGUCCAGAAACAUCUAAACCUACAUCGGGCACAGCCCGACAUCGGACCUUAGUCCAGCAUAUGCUAACAUACAUAAACAGGACGACAUUGGUGCCUUUAACCCGUUCCUACUAGAGGAAAACUCACUUUACAAAACUGGCUGCUGAAUCUCUCGGUAAGGAAUCUCUAUUGGCAGCUUCUGCGACUCCCCGACUAACAUUAUCACAAUAACACUUAGUCAAAAUUUAACAUCAUUCUUAGGGUAAAAUGGCCAUUUUACCCCUGGUCUAAUUUUGACCCAUGUACCGGGCCCGGUCAGAACUAAGUUGAUGUGUUCAAUUAAGUUCUAUGUCAAACAAAUCAGAAAUCGGGAAACAAAUGCUGGACAAUAAGCAAGACAAUGUUCCAUGUAUUUGUCCGGCUGAUAUCUAGAACGGAGGAUUAUAUGAUCACUUAUCUUAAAUGGCGUACCAUCAUCUUCUCAGUUCCGAGAAACCUUGAAAAGAGCUACGAUUGCCGAUCGGUUCCUGAAGUACUAGAGAUAUAGUUAUUAGACUUAUCCAAGUGGGAGACUGUUGGAUAAGGUGUCUAAGUCCAUAACUAUUUCGGGCUUGUACUUGACCCGACCCGGCAUGGUCCAUUUGGGUUGCAUGGCACCAUGCAAUUGGAUAGACUAAAUGAGAGAAAUAACACUUGGAGAUUAUUAAUAUAUUAUAAGUUCUAAUAUAUUAAUAAUAUUAUUUGAUUAGUUGAUCAAAGAAUUAAUUUGGAAUUAAUUAAGUGAUCAAAGGAUAACUAAUUAAAUAUAUGGGUUGAUUAUGUAAAUCAUCCAUAUCUUGUAUAGUGGGCUAAGAGGCUCCAUGGAUUAUCAAGUUGGGUUCUACCCAUAGGAUGCUCCAUGGAUGCUCCAUGGGAGUUACAAACCCAUGGGUCAUGGAAAUGAAGAGUCAUGACACAUUAGGGUUUACAUGGUGUAACCCUAGAUGUGCCAACACUAUAUAAGAGUCCCAUUCUCCACAAAAUUGGCUACACAAGUUGAACACUAAGAAACUAGAGGGCUUGGCCGAUUUUGAGAAGUGUGUGUUAUCUCAAGAGUCUUUCCAAGAGCAUUUGGUGUUGUGUGAAGCAUUUGAGGCAUCACACUUGGGGUGCUAGGCUCACAAGGUUUCAAGGAACACAAGCAACAACAAGGUAAGUUAUUCUAUCUAUGAUUCAAGUUAAAAUUGUUCCCCAUGUAUGCUAGAUAGGAAUAUAACCUUGGAAUUCAACUUUGCAUGAUAAUUAGACAAACAUAGAUCCAAGGUUAUUAGGGUUGCAUGUACACUUAGGAAGUGUUAGAAUGCUCAAAACCCAUCAGUGGUAUCAGAGCCUAGGCUUGUUUGUUUGUUAUUUGUGCUUAAAAGUUGAAGAAAGUCGAAAAUUCUGCUGUCUGACUGAUGGACUCGGCGAGUCCAUGGGGAGGACUCGUCGAGUUCAUGUGUAUCUUCAACCUACUCGGCGAGUAGGUUUAUGCACUCGGCGAGUAGGGUCGACAGAGUGCAGAAUUUCGACUUGAGUUGCUGGAAAUGGAUUAGAAUCAUUACCCUAAAAUGUUUUGGUACUUGAAAACUUAUUUUAGAAGGUGUAAUGUCUUUUCUAACUCAUUUACAACAACUAGUUAUCAAAAUUACAAAGAUUAAAUGUGAUUUUGAUUCUUGAAAGUGUUCAUAUUCAUAUUCUUGUUCUUAUGAUGUUUAGAUGAUCAUAGGAAUUAUUUGUAACCUAUGUGGUAGAUUAAUUCAUGAUCAUAAUGUGUUUUAAUGGAGUCCAUAACUUGUCCUCAAGUUAUGGAAAACCAAAAGUCUCUUGGAUUAAAAACCAUUAAAAGAACACAAGAGUUAGGAAAAAUGAAAAGUCCUCAUUUUAUUACUCUAUUAAACUCAUAAGUUACAAGAAAUGAAAAGUUUUGAAAGUUUACAAAACUUGCCCUCAAGUUUUGGAACAAGUAAAGUUAAGUUAAAACUUUAGUUCCAACCCCUAGAAUUUUAAAAGUUAAAAUUCAACCCUUAUACUUAUAUUAUUAUGAUUUAAUAAUUAUAUAUAUAUGUAUAAGAACAAAGUCGUCUUACCGCUAGUACGCCUCAUUCACGAAGCCGGUCUAUAAGGUGGGUAUAAGGUUGUUGCCUAUAAAAUGGUGACUUAAUGGGUGUCCACUCUCACCCACCGCUUGCUUGAUCGGUGGAGGGUCGUUAGCCGAACGGGUAAGACAAGGACUUAUUAAUUCUCAUUCAAAGUAUGAUGAAUAUUAUAAAGUAACUAAAUGUUUUAUUAAAUUCCCAAUCUUAGUUACUUUAGGAAAAAUGUGAAUAAGGUGCUAUUCCAUGAAAUUACACUUUACACUUUGAUUAAGUCGUUGGUGGAGCGUGUGUGGUUAACCGGCACACUAACUUGGACUUAACAAGGUAGGUAAAGGGUGACUUAGGGUUUAUUAUAGUAUCGAUGGAGCGUGUGUGGUUAACCGGCACAUCGAUUGAGUGAUAAACUUUAAGGGUACCAAGUGAUUUGCAUGGUUACUUCACACCUCGUUUUGUGAUCCUCGGUAUCCCAGUCACAAAACUUGGAGGGCACACUCGAGAUUGAAACAUGCCUUUGAAAAGUUCAUUGAAUCUCAAAGAAUCUAGGAAUUUCUAAGAACCAUUCAAAAACCUAAUACUAAAAUAUUGCGGUUUUCGUGGUGGAAAUUGGUGAAUCGUCAUUCACCUACCUUUCAAAUAUGAUAUAGCUUAGAUUACGGCAUACCUCUUCUAAGUUAUAUUAUAUUGUGAUUGGAUCCUAGCCUUAAUAUUACAUUUGGGUGUUUUAUUAAGGACUCUCUUAUAUCUAAACUAAUCUUGUCCUCUUUCCUUCAGAUGUCUUUCAACAAUGCUUCUGGCUCUAAUCCUAAUGGCUCCUUUACCCUUAUGAACUUGUGUGGGAAAGUCACCUUUGAUGGAUCCAACUUCAAUGAGUGGAUCAGAAACAUCAGGAUGAUUACCCGCUACGAGGACAAAGAAUAUGUCCUUGACAAGGAGCUUAAGGAGAUUGAUGAGUCCACUGCAACUCCUCAGGAGAUCGCUGAAUUUCGGGCACAUGAAAGGGAUGCUACGAAAGUGGCUUGCAUCAUGAUGGCCACGAUGACAGCGGAACUCCAAAAGUCUUAUGAGGAUUUCUACCCUUAUGACAUGCACCAAGAUUUGAUGGAAAGAUACCAUCAAAGUGCAAGACAAGAGAGGUAUGAAAUCAUCUGCUCCAUGAUAACAACCAUGAUGAAGGACGGGGAAUCCGUCACGAGCCACAUGCAGAAAAUGCAAAGGUAUGUGGAUCGUUUGCUGAAGCUUAAUGUGAACUUCCCGGAGGAUCUUGCAAUAGAUAUUAUUUUGCAUUCCUUACCAUCGUGCUAUGAUCAAUUCCGCAUGACAUAUCACAUGAACAAGGAAGAAGUCACCCUCAGCAAACUUCAGGGACUUCUCAAGACCGCAGAAACAGGUCUUAAGGGGAAGUCGGUUGCUAUCACUCCUACUCAAAACUCUACUCCGGUUUUGGCAAUCGGGAAAAGUCGAGGGAGGAAGAGAAAGAGCUCUUCUAAGGGUACCAAGGCUCGGACCCUUGAUGGCUCUUCUUCAAGUGGAACCAAGAAAGGUUUCGUUACUCCUUCUUCUGACCCAAAAGAGGCUGAAUGCUUCUAUUGCCAUGAAAAAGCUCAUUGGAAGCGGAACUGCCCAAAAUACCAGCAAGAUGUGAAGGAUGGGAAAGUUAAACCCAACCAUGCAGGUAUUUACACUAUCAUUUCUAAUAACUCACCCCAUUCUAAUUCUUGGGUCCUUGAUACCGGGUGUGGUAUUCACAUUUGUUGUGACUUGCAGGGACUAAGAAGAAGUGAGGAUGUGGAGCAAGGAAGGAUAAACUUGAUCAUGGGGAAUAGGAAAGCUAUACCUGUUACCAAGAUUGGAGUUUAUACUUUAUCGCUAAGUAGUGGGUUUAGUUUAGAUUUGAAUAAGUGUUGUUAUUCGCCAGGAAUGGCAAGAAAUAUUAUUUCCUUUCAUGCUUUGUACAAACAAGGGUUUACCUUUUCAUUUAAUAAUGAAGUUGGUUCUAUAGAUGUUUUCUAUAAUAAUGUCUUUUAUUUUAAAGCAUUACCUUGUGAUGGUGUGUAUGAAGCUGUAUCUGUUGUAGAUAACUUGGGAAAUAAUGUUUUGUGUAUUGAUUCUACUAAUAAUAACUUGGAUAAAGCAUCUUUAUGGCAUUGUCGUCUUGGACAUAUAAGCAAGAAACGCAUAGGCCAACUCCAAAAGGAUGGAGUCUUGGAGUCGUUUGACCUAAAGUCAGAUGAUAGUUGCGAAUCAUGCUUACUUGGAAAAAUGACAAAGUCACCCUUCACAGGUUCGUGUGAGAGGGGUGAAGGUUUGUUGGACCUUAUACACACGGAUGUGUGUGGACCAUUCAAACAUGCCACAAGGGAUGCUAAUCGUUAUUAUUUGACUUUUACUGAUGAUUAUAGUAGAUAUGGAUAUGUCUACUUGAUCAAGCAUAAGUCAGAGACUUUCGAGAGGUUUAAGGAAUUUAAACAGGAAGUCGAGAAUCAAUUGGGCAGGAACAUUAAGAUGCUUCGAUCCGAUCGUGGUGGUGAGUAUCUUAGUUCAGAGUUCCUCGACUAUCUAAGGGAAUGUGGGAUAGUCUCACAAUUGACACCUCCCAGGACACCACAGUUGAAUGGUGUGGCUGAGAGGCGUAAUCGAACCUUGUUAGAUAUGGUUCGUUCCAUGAUGAGUCGAGCUACGCUACCAAUCUCAUUCUGGGGGUAUGCCUUAGAGACUGCCGCCCAUAUUCUUAAUCUAGUCCCUACAAAGAAAGUUGCCAAAACUCCUCACGAGAUGUGGACUGGUAAAGUACCUAAACUAGACCACAUCAAGAUUUGGGGUUGCGAGGCUUUCGUGAGACGCGAGACUCAUGAUAAGCUCGAACCUCGAAGCGAGAGGUGUAUUUUCAUCGGUUACCCACAGCGAUCCUUUGGUUACCUCUUCUACAGACCUAGUGACAAUGUGGUCUUUGUAGCAAGAAGAGGAGUCUUUCGAGAAAGAGAGUUUAUAAGCCAAGGAGACAGUGGGAGGCAAAUUGAUCUUGAAGAAAUUCAAGAAUCAAGCGGUGAAGGAACUUCAAACUCUAGCCCUCAACUUGAGGAGGAAACUCCUGUUGAGCCAAUUGACAAAUCUGUACCUCUGAGACGUUCCACGAGAGUUAGGAGUGCACCUGAGCAUUACUAUGGAUUCCAUAUUACUGCAGAAGGUGAGACACUUAUUAGUGAUGAGACACUAGUAAGUCAAGAUGACCCUAACAGCUACGAGGAAGCCAUGGCAGGCCCCGAGUCUGCUAAAUGGAAAGAGGCUAUGGAUAGCGAGAUACAAUCCAUGUAUGACAAUCAAGUUUGGAACUUGGUUGAAAAUGUACCAGGUCGUAAGACAGUAGGGUGCAAAUGGGUCUUCAAGAAGAAGACCGACAUGGAUGGUAAAGUACACACUUAUAAGGCUAGACUGGUUGCAAAGGGCUUCUCUCAAAUUCCUGGAGUGGAUUAUGAUGAGACCUUUUCUCCGGUAGCCAAGAUUAAGUCUAUUCGGGUUCUGUUAGCCAUAGCUGCAUUUCAUGACUAUGAAAUAUGGCAGAUGGAUGUCAAAACCGCUUUCCUUAAUGGAAAGUUGGCUGAAGAUGUUUACAUGAGUCAGCCAGAGGGUUUUGUCAGCAACGAGUACCCUAAUAGAGUGUGUAAGCUUGAGAAAUCCAUUUAUGGAUUGAAGCAAGCACCUCGCAGAUGGAAUCUUUGCUUUGAUGAAAAGGUCAAGGAAUUUGGCUUUUCUAGGAGUGAAGAUGAAUCUUGUGUGUAUGUCAAGGCUAGUGGGAGUAUAGUUAGCUUUUUGGUAUUGUAUGUGGAUGACAUACUACUCAUAGGAAACGACAUUCCAACCCUGCAGGAAGUAAAGUCCUGGCUUGGGAAGUGUUUCGCUAUGAAGGACCUUGGUGAAGCUGCCUAUAUUCUAGGGAUAAGAAUCUUGAGAGAUCGGAGUAAAAGACUAAUUGGACUUAGUCAGAGUACCUACUUGGAUAAGGUGCUGAAGAGAUUCAGCAUGCAGGAUUCCAAGAAAGGAGAGUUACCCAUCCAGAGUAACACCAGAUUGAGUAAGACACAAAGCCCUAGCACUGAGGCUGAGAUAGCAGAAAUGAGUCGAACACCUUACGCUUCGGCUGUAGGAUCGAUCAUGUAUGCUAUGACGUGUACUCGACCCGAUGUAGCUUUUGCCUUGAGCAUGGUUAGCAGGUAUCAGGCGAACCCUGGCAAGGCACACUGGACUGCGGUAAAGAAUAUCCUCAAGUACCUACGGAGGACUAAGGACUGGGUCCUUACCCUCGGUGGGAGUGAUGACUUGAGAGUUGUAGGGUAUAGUGAUGCUAGCUUCCAGACUGAUAGGGAUAAUUUCCGCUCUCAGUCGGGCUGGGUCUUUACCCUAAACGGAGGAGCAAUUUCUUGGAAGAGUUCCAAGCAAGAGACAGUGGCAGAUUCUACUUGUGAAUCAGAGUAUAUUGCAGCUAGUGAAGCAGCAAAGGAGGCGAUAUGGCUGAAGAACUUCAUUGGAGACCUUGGAGUUGUACCAGCUAUUAAAGAGCCAAUGGAAAUUUUCUGUGAUAGUGAAAGUGCUGUUGCCUUAGCCAAGGAACCAAGGGAUCAUGGGAGAUCCAGACACAUCGACAGAAAAUACCAUUUCAUUAGACAUCGGAUCGAAGAAGGACUCCUCGUGGCAAAGAGGGUAUCAUCGGAUGAGAACCCAGCAGAUCCCCUCACGAAGGGACUGAGUAGGGUUAAGCAUCUCCAGCAUGCUCGGAGCAUAGGGCUGAAGGAUGAUAUAAGUUUUAGUAGUUAGAUAACCCAGAAAUUUGUAAAGUGUAAUUGACAUUUGAUGAUGAAUAAAAGGUGUUUUAUUUAUGAGUAAAGUGUUGCUAUCUCUUGUCGAUCGUUUACUAUAUUUCUUUUGCAUGUUUUGACUUCCAGAAUAAUUUUGUUUGGUAUAACAUAUUAUUCAAACCUCCACAGUCGGUCAUAUGUUGGAAGUAGAUAUGAAUCAAGACUGUCAUGUUUGGUUGUAGAGGUCUUGGACAAGGCUACAACAAUCAUGAGUGCUCAUAAGUUCUGAGCAUUGGACUCAACCCACGCUCACUGGAAUCACUUCAUGGAAUUCUAUCUCGAGUGAUCGUGAGACGGUAAUAUCAUAUAAGUCUUCAAACCUAGAGAUAUGAUUUGUUACUUACAAGUUGGUUAUGCAUUGACUGUACGAAACCGCAUUGGUAACUCGAUGUUAUAAAACGUACUUUUGUGUGUAAUUCAAUGAGUGGUAGAACAAACAUAUGAGUCGAAGUUUAUCUGUUCCUUCUUGGAUUAGAAGCUGAUAUCUGGGCCCCUCGAUGAUUUUGUUUUGACCCAUGUACCGGGCCCGGUCAGAACUAAGUUGAUGUGUUCAAUUAAGUUCUAUGUCAAACAAAUCGGAAAUCGGGAAACAAAUGCUGGACAAUAAGCAAGACAAUGUUCCAUGUAUUUGUCCGGCUGAUAUCUAGAACGGAGGAUUAUAUGAUCACUUAUCUUAAAUGGCGUACCAUCAUCUUCUCAGUUCCGAGAGACCUUGAAAGAGCUACGAUUGCCGGUCGGUUCCUGAAGUACUAGAGAUAUAGUUAUUAGACUUAUCCAAGUGGGAGACUGUUGGAUAAGGUGUCUAAGUCCAUAACUAUUUCGGGCUUGUACUUGACCCGACCCGGCAUGGUCCAUUUGGGUUGCAUGGCACCAUGCAAUUGGAUAGACUAAAUGAGAGAAAUAACACUUGGAGAUUAUUAAUAUAUUAUAAGUUCUAAUAUAUUAAUAAUAUUAUUUGAUUAGUUGAUCAAAGAAUUAAUUUGGAAUUAAUUAAGUGAUCAAAGG